GCAUCGGUAGUGCAGUUGGUUGGCACGCACUCCGGAAUGGGUGAAAUGCGGGUUCGAGUCUCGUCCGAUGCA
Parelaphostrongylus tenuis is the source of this 72-nucleotide non-coding RNA. NCBI's taxonomy places the organism in Eukaryota, Metazoa, Nematoda, Chromadorea, Rhabditida, Metastrongylidae. The record is from the annotation of a GenBank genome assembly.